AGAGUUUGAUCCUGGCUCAGAAUGAACGUUGCGGCGUGGAUUAGGCAUGCAAGUCGAGCGAGAACCCCGCAAGGGGGGACAGCGGCAAACGGGGUAGUAAUGUGUCGGAACGUGCCCUCAGGUCGGGGAUAGCGGCGGGAAACUGCCGGUAAUACCCGAUGACCUCGAGAGAGCAAAGGUGUGACUCCGCCGGAGGAGCGGCCGACAUGGUAUUAGCUAGUUGGUAGGGUAAUGGCCUACCAAGGCGAUGAUGCCUAGGGGGUGUGAGAGCAUGGCCCCCACCAUUGGGACUGAGACACUGCCCAGACACCUACGGGUGGCUGCAGUCGAGAAUCUUCGUCAAUGGGCGAAAGCCUGAACGAGCGACGCCGCGUGCGGGAUGAAGGCCUUUGGGUCGUAAACCGCUGUCGAGGGGGAUGAAGGCAUUCAGGUACUCCUGAAUGUUUGACAGGGCCCUGGAGGAAGCACGGGCUAAAUUCGUGCCAGCAGCCGCGGUAAUACGAACUGUGCGAACGUUAUUCGGAAUCACUGGGCUUACAGGGUGCGUAGGCGGCUUUGCAAGUCAGGUGUGAAAGCCCCCGGCUCAACCGGGGAAUUGCGCUUGAAACUGCAGGGCUCGAGUCAGCUAGAGGUGCAC
RNAcentral lists this ribosomal RNA (637 nucleotides) under uncultured bacterium. RNAcentral's name for it is "bacterial SSU rRNA". It matches the Rfam family "Bacterial small subunit ribosomal RNA", at positions 8 to 662 of the family's 1533-position model. The record is from RNAcentral.